UGCUUGGGAAACUGCUGGACUCGGUACCUGAACGUUUAGAGACAUUAGUUGCCCUACUGACUGAGUGGACGGCGAAAUAUCCAUACGAUUAUCGUGACGAGCGCAUGAUGAAUCAUUUAAAAGGUGCUGCACUUCACAUUUAGAAGCCAUAGUCUUCCAAAUACUAAACGCCUUACUUAACCGACUGACAGAGUUGGAGCAAUAUGAGGUCGAUCUGCGCGCCUGCCAGACCAAUAGAACCGAUAUGAAUUGAUGCUGGCAUACGAG
RNAcentral lists this small RNA (267 nucleotides) under Drosophila virilis. Its description in RNAcentral is "GJ26107". The record is from RNAcentral. Lineage: Eukaryota; Metazoa; Arthropoda; Insecta; Diptera; Drosophilidae.